RNAcentral lists this ribosomal RNA (595 nucleotides) under Dyadobacter sp. TDB-218. RNAcentral's name for it is "bacterial SSU rRNA". It matches the Rfam family "Bacterial small subunit ribosomal RNA", at positions 102 to 694 of the family's 1533-position model. Lineage: Bacteria; Pseudomonadati; Bacteroidota; Cytophagia; Cytophagales; Spirosomataceae. The record is from RNAcentral.
ACGGGUGCGUAACGCGUAUGCAACCUACCUAUCACUGGGGGAUAGCCCGGGGAAACCCGGAUUAAUACCGCAUAAAACAGGGGCACCGCAUGGUGAUAUUUGUUAAAGAUUUAUUGGUGAUAGAUGGGCAUGCGUUCGAUUAGCUAGUUGGCGGGGUAACGGCCCACCAAGGCGACGAUCGAUAGGGGAGCUGAGAGGUUGAUCCCCCACACGGGCACUGAGAUACGGGCCCGACUCCUACGGGAGGCAGCAGUAGGGAAUAUUGGGCAAUGGAUGCAAGUCUGACCCAGCCAUGCCGCGUGCCGGAUGAAGGCCCUCAGGGUUGUAAACGGCUUUUAUUCGGGAAGAAGAGCAGGGAUGCGUCCUUGUGUGACGGUACCGAAUGAAUAAGCACCGGCUAACUCCGUGCCAGCAGCCGCGGUAAUACGGAGGGUGCGAGCGUUGUCCGGAUUUAUUGGGUUUAAAGGGUGCGUAGGUGGCUGUUUAAGUCAGUGGUGAAAUACGGUUGCUCAACAAUCGAGGUGCCAUUGAUACUGAAUAGCUUGAAAUAAUUGGAGGCUGCCGGAAUGAAUGGUGUAGCGGUGAAAUGCAUAGA